GGGCCCGUAGCUCAAUUGGUCAGAGCGGCUGACUCAUAAUCAGCUGGUUGGUGGAUCGAGGCCACCCGGGCCCACCC
This 77-nucleotide transfer RNA is filed under the name Chloroflexota bacterium. RNAcentral's name for it is "Chloroflexi bacterium tRNA-Met". It matches the Rfam family "tRNA". Rfam says of the family: Transfer RNA (tRNA) molecules are approximately 80 nucleotides in length. Their secondary structure includes four short double-helical elements and three loops (D, anti-codon, and T loops). The record is from RNAcentral. Lineage: Bacteria; Bacillati; Chloroflexota.